RNAcentral lists this ribosomal RNA (522 nucleotides) under uncultured Basidiomycota. RNAcentral describes it as "partial 18S ribosomal RNA". The stretch from base 167 to 320 matches the Rfam family "5.8S ribosomal RNA". Lineage: Eukaryota; Fungi; Basidiomycota. The record is from RNAcentral.
UCCGUAGGUGAACCUGCGGAAGGAUCAUUAAUAAUGCUCUCUGGCUUCGGUCAGUUGAGUUCAAUGAGUGCCUUCUCUUCGGAGUUGGCCAUCCAUACACACCGUGAACUGUGGCUUCGGCCAUCACAAACUGUUAGUAAUGAAUGUAAUAUCAUAACAAAAACAAAACUUUUAACAACGGAUCUCUUGGCUCUCGUAUCGAUGAAGAACACAGCGAAAUGCGAUAAGUAAUGUGAAUUGCAGAAUUCAGUGAAUCAUCGAAUCUUUGAACGCACCUUGCGCCCUUUGGUAUUCCGAAGGGCAUGCCUGUUUGAGUGUCAUGAAACCUCACCCCACUUGGGUUUUUGCCUGAGCGGUGGUGUAUUGGGUGUUGCCUUGCCAAAGGCUCGCCUUAAAAACAUAAGCACCUUGGAUGUAAUACGUUUCAUCCUUCUGGGUGGCUGAUAACCCCACAUAUUCAUGAUCUGGCUUCAAAUCAGGUAGGGCUACCCGCUGAACUUAAGCAUAUCAAUAAGCGGAGGA